GCCAGCCAGGAAGGAAGGAGGAGGCAGCCGGAGUGGCCACCCCUGCUCUCUGCAGCAGAAGACCUCUUGCUGCCCUGCCCUGCCCUGCCCAGCCCAGCCCAGCCUUGGCCAGCAGGUGCGCUGCAGAGCACCAUGCAGCAGGAGCAGUCUAUCUGAUCAGCAAAACCUUCCGCUCUCGGUGGAUAGGGUGGAGACAAGGAACAGAAAUGCAGGUCUUCGUGCUAACGAGCCGGGCUGCAGAUCCAGCUGCCCCCCCUCCAUGCAUCUGCCCCACGAAGCUCAGGCCAGCUGUUUGCUGGAGGUUUGCUGCCGCUCUGCCAUGUACCUACCUGCGUUUGGGAAGGGGAAGCCGCGGCACACUUGACAGCCCCAUCUGCUGCUCUCGCUGGAGGAGCCAUGCCUCCUGCAGACAUUCAGCCAGGGCUUUGCAGACAGCGAGACACUUGCUGUGUUUUUGGCAAAGGCUAGAAAGCAAAAGGCUCAGGAAUCUGGAUUCGGCACCCACCUCCCACACACCCACCCAGAGUCCCAGCCCGCACAGAGCUGGCGCCGUUUGGCAGGAGAGGGCUUCUGGGAAGGAUCAUUAUUCUAUCAAAUCCGAGCAUUAUUGCCUGUCGGAGCCUGCAGUUUUUCCCUGCUACAUAACGGAUCAACUUUUAAAUCAGCAAUGCAGCUGCCUUAACACACACACAUCCCCGCCCGACUUCAGCGUUCUCUGGGGAUUCCUCUUUUGCCUUUAGCAUAUGCAUGGACAAACCCCGCAUGCCUGUCGUCGGGGUUUUUAUAUCCAAUAAACUGCGCUUGGACCCUUUGAGCUGCGAUGUGCAGGAUUCAGCCCAGCAGGAGAAGGCUGUCCUCCAGGGGCACAGAGUGAAAACAACAAGGCCCCCACCACCACCGCCGGCCCCCAGCAAAUUGGAGCAAGAAUGCUCUUUCCUCCCACAUGCAGGCACCAAGCGCCCCCUCUAUGCAUUAUGCCCAUUUUUAUUACAACCCCCAAACACUCCUAAGAGCCAAGGUUGUAAAAAGGUGAGGAUGCUUUAGAGCUCCGACGGACGCUUAAAACUGGCUGCUUCUGUAUUGGCCUCUCGCCCGUCCCACGCCCGGCAGGUCACAGGAACAGCGAGAGCCACGACACGGGUGCCUUUUCAAAUAUUCACCGGCUGGAAGGAAGGCACAGCAAGGCUAUUUAUGAGCCGGGUUCAUUAUGGCGAAGAGGGUCUGUUGGCACACCGCUCUCCUGAGAUGCAGUGCUGGGGGUGGGGAGCCCUAUUCUGUGGUCCAGCCAGAGGGGUGUGUGUGUGUGAGAGAGAGAGAGAGUCCAGCGCAGAUUGCUCAGGAGCAAAGCCAGGAGGACUGGGCACAAAAUAAGGUUCUCACAACCCACGCAAAGCUGGCCAGCUGGGAAUCUGUGAGUCAUGCACACGCUCCCGAUUCCUGGGCAUGAGGCCACCAAAGGUUUUGGUGGUGCCGGGUUGCACCAUGCUACCCUGUAGCAACAGGAUCGGGGCAGAUCCCCUGGCACAAGAACAUUGCGUCCCAAGGAGGAAAAGUUAGUGCUUGUGUCAGGAUCUCCGUUGUGAAACGAAAUGCCCUGCGUGCGCCAGUCCCUGUGUAGAAGGCACGGGACAGCCAUCUUGCCUGAGAGGGAGAGGCUGGUGUGAAGCGCGCCCUCUCGCUCUCAUCUCGGCUGAGCUCCUUGUGGUGGGUGCUGAUAUCAUCCGCUGCUGCGUGUCGCCUUAUCAGUGUUGGUUCUGUGUGAGAAUCUGGCCCAUUACGCUGUCUCUCUGUGUGCCUGUGAGGGCCACGCUUUGCUCAUGUGUGGCUAUUCGCCAGCAACGGACGCUUAGUUGUAAUCAGCUCUAAAAGGCAGUCUCUUUAGAGGGCUAAUUGGGCUAAUCACCAGUGGGCGAGCAUGCAGUGCCUCGGACUUCUGCCAAGAGCCACAUCUCCUAGGGCGACGGGAUCCCAGGGAGUGUGCGUUUCGAGGGAUGUAAGCCUUUCCCCCACUUGAUCUCUCUCUGAUUAGGAACAUAGGAAGCUGCCAUAUACUGAGUCAGACCCUUGGUCCAUCUAGCUCAGCGUUAUCUGCACAGACUGGCAGAGGUUGCAGACAGGAGUCUCUCUCAGCUCUAUCUUGGAGAUGCCGCCAGGGAGGGAACUUGGAACCUAGGUGCUCUUCCCAGAGCAGCUCCAUCCCCUAAGAAGGGAAUCUCUUCCAGGGCUCACACAUCAAGUCUCCCUUUUGUAUGCAACCAAGGCAGACCCUGCUUAGCUAAGGACAAGGUAUGCUUGCUGCCACAAGACCAGCUCUCUCCCUCUGCUCAAGAAAGAAAAACCACUUUUAAAAGGUGCCUCUUAGUUGCUUUAGGGGCAAACAGCCACUUCUAUAGGUCGGGAUUUUUGGUGGAAAAAAGACACAAGGGGCAAUGCGUUCACCUCCCCUCCCUGUGUGCCAUGGUCUCGACCAGGAUCAGGCCCGCAUGCUGGUUUUUAGUGGGAGUUGCUCCUGGCACAAAGCACAGCUCUGAAAAGUGAAUCUAGGCAACCAUCUAACUUGACCCUAAGAUCCUUUUUUACCUUUUGUGGACUAGGCUUGCUUCAUUAUAUAUCUGGGAUGUUUGCCCAUGAAACCUGUGCCAUGAUCCCUUGGCUUGCCUUUAUGGUGCCAGAGUCAUAUCACCGUGUAAAUUAGAAGUCUUACUUAAGUGACAUGACUUCCUCCUAAGAAUCCUGGGGACUGUAAUCAGGCGGGGGCAUGGUUGGCGAACCCCAGGCUGCCUCUGAGCCCCCAGGACUCCAUGCUGAGAGGGGGUGUCUGGGUGUGGGCUUGAUAUACCUGCAGCAGCUUCUCUGGGUGAGAGAGGGCUUCACUGUCCGUUCCAGAGAUGGCCGUCCUUAUGCACGAAGUCUGGCUCCAUCUGCUGAAUUAGCCCAAGCUUUGCUUUGCUUCAUUAAACUCCCCGCAUUUGCAACAACCUCAGGUCCUCAUGAUUAGGUAAAUACAGUUGCCAACUGGCCAGGAAACACAUCCUGCACCCAGAUCUGCAGAAACCGGAAGCCGGUUUCUCGUGAUGGCACGGAGGUCAGCGUUCUCACUUGCCAACGUGUGGCUGUCAAGCUGCAGCUAAAGGCAGAGGAGCAGGAGCUGGCUGAAGGAAGGAGGGAGAGGGCUGGCCGUUUGACAAGGAAGGAGCUGUUCACAUUUCAAGCAGCUGUGAAGAGGAGUGGAGGGACGUGGGAGCCCGGAACCAGCACCCAGGCCCUGGACUGGAAGCCCCGUUGUUGCUGCGGCUGGUGGUGGACAUGAAUGGAGAACGCAUGACCAAUUCUCCAUGCUGGCAAGGCAGAUGGAGAAAGGCUCAUUACUUAUGCAUGGAACAUUCACAGACUUGACAUCCAUUGCGGUCUUCCUGGUCUCCGUAGCACAGAUUCGGGGGUACCUUCUCUGAAAGCCACAUGGCUCUGUAGUGGCCAGGAGUUCACAGUGACUCGACGGCACAAGUUGACUUUUAGCGUCAUCUGCCAGAGGUCUGGGUUUUGGUGAUGCUGCUCAGGAAAGAACCAGCAGGCAGCAAGAAUGCACCGGAGUUCGACAGAUUCUCAUGGGAACAGAGGAAUUAAAGUGCUCCUUCCACCAACGUGCCCCCUUUCUACUGUGAAUGCCACGCUGUGACGACUCUGUUUAUCAAUCUCACUUAAAGGCCACGAGUCCCUCACUUGGAUGGCAGAGAAUGUCACCUCCACGCAGAUCCUGUCCCUGUUUCAAGGAUCUGGCCGCUUGGAGUGGAGACCACCCGUAAAAGAAAGUGAGCAUGCCAUUCAUCAGUGCCAAAGACUGACAUGCCCUUUGAGACAAGCGGAGUUUGUCUGGGACGGGAGGAUGGUUUUUGUUUUUUUUAAAAUAGAAGCUGGUCUUUGUCAUCAUCACACAACACAUUCAGGAAUAACGACACACAAGAAAAUGAAGUGCAGACAGCCGGCGUGUCUGGGCAUGAGCUGGGAAGCAUUCGCUUUUCAAAAGAACUGUUUGGAGCAAGAAUUUCCAAAGAGUCACCUACGUCUGGAUUAACCAGCAGGCUGGGCUAGUUGGCUCAGGGAAGGCAGGGAAUAUAGGAACAGUGGAAGCUGCCUUAUACUGAGUCAGACCCUUGGUCCAUCUAGCUCAGGAUUGUCUACACAGACUGGCAGCGGCUACUCCAAGGUUGCAGGCAGGAGUCUCUCUCAGUCCUGUCUUGGACAUGCUGCCGGGAGGGAGCUUUCUCCAUGCAAGCAAGCAAGCAAGCAUUUUUUCCAAAGUGGCCCCAUUAUCCUACAGUGCUCACACAUGUCAUCUCCCAUUCAAAUGCAAACCAGGGCAGACCCUGCUUAGCAAAGGGGACAAUUCUUGCUUGCUACCACCAGACCAGCUACCCUCCCCACUGCCUUGAUCCUUGGGGGAACAGUAUCCCUAGGGGACAUGCAUUGACAGCUGGAUUUUGCUUUAGUGGGCCAGAUCCAGGAACAAGGGCUGACGUGAGUCCGUGGAAACAAGAGUCCUCAAGAAGACUGUGUGGAGUCAUGACUCACAGGUCCUGCAAGUCAUGGCCCAAUGGGAGGCAGUCUGUGUCCAGGAAAGGUCUCCAGAGCAGACCAGCAGACAGGAGAGAGAGCUGGCCUUGUGGCAGCAAGCAUGAAUGGUCCCCUUUGCUAAGCAGGGUCUGCCGUGGUUGCAUCUGAAUGGGAGAUGACAUGUGUGAGCACUGCAAGAGAUUCCCCUGAGGAGAUAAUGGGGCCGCUCUGGGGAGAGGUUCUGCAGGCUUGCACACAGAAGGUUCCAAGACCCCUCCCUGACAUCUUAUAUUUCUUUGUAUGGGUACUUUGCAUAUUCCUGAUACUAUUCUUUUAUUGUUUACCUGCAACGUAAUUGAAAUAAGAUGCACUGACUAGUCUAUGCUCAAUCCGCCUAAAUGCAACCUGAAACUGCAGCCUAAGACAACCUAUUUUUGUAACCUACUAAGUAUUUUUGAAUUUAUUUAAAACCUAAAAGCCUCAGACAGUAGCAGUCUGUAGUAACUGAAUAAAAGUGGUUUUUUGUUCUUUUCUUUUUACAAGCCUCUCAGAGUUGGUUUUUAACUCAAGAAAAAGGGAGUGCAGAAAGGGGAUUUCUCUGGUUCAAAAGCCUCCUCAAGCGCUCAGCAGCUAUCAGUUUUCUCAUCACGUGGAAGGUUUUUUGUACUUAUCCAAUAGCAAAAUAAAUAGUGUUUCCCCUGGGAUUCCACCCUAAGCCCAGGGAGGUUCAAGCUCUGUCAAUAAGAGGGAUGGCAGUGGCAGCAUUUUAAUUCUACCAGAAAAUAUAGAUUCAUUUUAUGAGAAGCCCAGCCAGGGAUGAUUCCACAUUCCCCCCCUCUGAGACAAAAGCUGUAAUCUGCUACAAAAACAAUCUCAAGGCAGUUUACAAUACAUUUUAAAAAAUAUAAAACUAAAAAACAGUUGUGCAAUAAAGUAAAGCAUGAAUGGUCCCCUUAGCUAAGCAGGGUCCACUCUGGUUGCCUCUGAAUGGGAGACUACAUGCGUGAGCACUGGAAGAUAUUCCCCUCAGGGGCUGGAGCCGCUCUGGGAAGAGCAUCUAGGUUCCAGGUUCCCUCCCUGGCAGCAUCUCCAAGAUAGGGCUGAGAGAGA
Molecule: long non-coding RNA, 5661 nt
Organism: Hemicordylus capensis (graceful crag lizard)
Lineage: Eukaryota; Metazoa; Chordata; Lepidosauria; Squamata; Cordylidae
Exons: 5
Source: RefSeq, a predicted model, not a curated record